GAUGAACGCUGGCGGCGUGCCUAAUACAUGCAAGUCGAGCGAACGGACGAGAAGCGUGCGUCUCUGAUGUUAGCGGCGGACGGGUGAGUAACACGUGGAUAACCUACCUAUAAUACUUGGAUAACUUCGGGAAACCGUAGCUAAUACCGGAUAAUAUUUUGUACGGCAUGGUUCAAAAGAGAAAGGCGGUCUUGCUGUCACUUUGAGAUGGACCCGCGCUGCAUUGGCUAGUUGGUAAGGUAACGGCUUACCAAGGCAACGAUGCAUAGCCGACCUGAGAGAGUGAUCGGCAACACUGGACCGGAGCCACGGUCCAGACUCCUCGGGGAGGAAGAGGUAGGGAAUCUUGCGCAAUGGGCGAAAGCCUGACGGAGCAAAGCGGCGUGGGGGAUGAAGGUCUUCGGAUCGUAAAACUCUGUUAUUAGAGAAGAACAUAUGUGUAAGUAACUGUGCACAUCUUGAGGGUACCUAAUCAGAAAGACACGGCUAACUACGU
Molecule: ribosomal RNA, 496 nt
Filed under: uncultured bacterium
Lineage: Bacteria
Description: partial 16S ribosomal RNA
Rfam family: Bacterial small subunit ribosomal RNA
Source: RNAcentral